CAGCCCUUGACAUGGGACGUAUGGGGUCCGGAGACGGGCUUCUUCAGUUCGGCUGGCGUCCACACAGGUGCUGCAUGGCUGUCGUCAGCUCGUGUCGUGAGAUGUUGGGUUAAGUCCCGCAACGAGCGCAACCCUCAUCUUCAGUUGCCAUCGGGUUAAGCCGGGCACUCUGAAGAAACCGCCGGUGACAAGCCGGAGGAAGGCGGGGAUGACGUCAAGUCCUCAUGGCCCUUAUGGGCUGGGCUACACACGUGCUACAAUGGCGGUGACAAUGGGACGCGAUGGAGCGAUCCGGAGCCAAUCUCAAAAAGCCGUCUCAGUUCAGAUUGCACUCUGCAACUCGAGUGCAUGAAGGUGGAAUCGCUAGUAAUCGUGGAUCAGCAUGCCACGGUGAAUA
RNAcentral lists this ribosomal RNA (397 nucleotides) under uncultured bacterium. RNAcentral's name for it is "bacterial SSU rRNA". It matches the Rfam family "Bacterial small subunit ribosomal RNA", at positions 975 to 1368 of the family's 1533-position model. The record is from RNAcentral.